Podarcis lilfordi (Lilford's wall lizard) is the source of this 73-nucleotide non-coding RNA. The record is from the annotation of a GenBank genome assembly. NCBI's taxonomy places the organism in Eukaryota, Metazoa, Chordata, Lepidosauria, Squamata, Lacertidae.
AGGGGCUGUAGCUCAGUGGCAGGGAAUCUGCCUUACAUGCAGAAGCUUCCAGGUUCAAUCUUUGGCAUCUUGA